CAGAGAUGCUAACAUGAAUGCCAGGACCAUUCGGACCCGAGCUUGAAUGUUUUGCAACCCUAAAUUUUCAAUGUUUGAUCCCCCAUCUACCUUAUAGCGUGGACGCUUUCCAGUGAGUGUUUGAAACAGAGAGAUUAGCGAAGAGACCACUCCAUCGAUGCUCACAUUAAGAUGCCAUGAUCCUACCUCAUCGGCCAACACCUUUGCCCGAGUUGUUGUGGCUUCUGAACUAUUUUCAGAUCCCAUAAAAACAGUGUAAAAAAUGCGUCUAGCGAAUUCUUUGCUAUCUGUUGGAAAUUGACCAUCAGUGUAAUGGCCAAUUCGAAUAGCAUCUGCUUUUAUCUGCUUGUCGCCGUUUGCAAUUUCUUUUACUACAAGCUGGCACAUUGAACCAACUAUAGCAGCAACGGAGGAACUAUCAGCACCACCAGAAAGUGGAAGCAGAAAACCAGAUGCACCACUUCUUCUUAGAUAAUCCCACAGCCAGCAAGCAGGUCCAAG
RNAcentral lists this unclassified non-coding RNA (501 nucleotides) under Hevea brasiliensis (rubber tree). Lineage: Eukaryota; Viridiplantae; Streptophyta; Magnoliopsida; Malpighiales; Euphorbiaceae. The record is from RNAcentral.